RNAcentral lists this transfer RNA (73 nucleotides) under Bos taurus (domestic cattle). It matches the Rfam family "tRNA". Rfam says of the family: Transfer RNA (tRNA) molecules are approximately 80 nucleotides in length. The record is from Rfam by way of RNAcentral. Lineage: Eukaryota; Metazoa; Chordata; Mammalia; Artiodactyla; Bovidae. RNAcentral also lists the same sequence under 4 other names.
UCCCUGGUGGCCCAGUGGUUAAGACUCUGCACUCCCAAUGCAGGCAGCCCGGGUAUGAUUCCUGGUCAGGGAA